This 253-nucleotide ribosomal RNA is filed under the name uncultured bacterium. RNAcentral's name for it is "partial 16S ribosomal RNA". It matches the Rfam family "Bacterial small subunit ribosomal RNA", at positions 524 to 776 of the family's 1533-position model. The record is from RNAcentral.
UACGUAGGGUGCAAGCGUUGUCCGGAAUUAUUGGGCGUAAAGAGCUCGUAGGCGGUCUGUCGCGUCUGCUGUGAAAACUCGGGGCUUAACCCCGGGCCUGCAGUGGGUACGGGCAGACUAGAGUGCGGUGGGGGAGACUGGAAUUCCUGGUGUAGCGGUGAAAUGCGCAGAUAUCAGGAGGAACACCGGUGGCGAAGGCGGGUCUCUGGGCCGUAACUGACGCUGAGGAGCGAAAGCAUGGGGAGCGAACAGG